This 633-nucleotide ribosomal RNA is filed under the name Pseudoalteromonas agarivorans. RNAcentral describes it as "partial 23S ribosomal RNA". It matches the Rfam family "Bacterial large subunit ribosomal RNA", at positions 218 to 902 of the family's 2925-position model. Lineage: Bacteria; Pseudomonadati; Pseudomonadota; Gammaproteobacteria; Alteromonadales; Pseudoalteromonadaceae. The record is from RNAcentral.
AAAGAAAUCAACCGAGAUUCCGAUAGUAGCGGCGAGCGAAAUCGGAACAGCCCUUAAGCUUAUUAUGUGUUAAUGGAAGGCUCUGGAAAGUGCCACGAUACAGGGGGAUAGUCCCGUACAUGAAAAGACAUUUUAAGUGAAAUCGAGUAGGUCGGAGCACGUGAAACUUUGACUGAAUAUAGGUGGACCAUCAUCUAAGGCUAAAUACUCCCAACUGACCGAUAGUGAACCAGUACCGUGAGGGAAAGGCGAAAAGAACCCCUGUGAGGGGAGUGAAAUAGAACCUGAAACCGUGUACGUACAAGCAGUAGGAGCCUACUUGUUAGGUGACUGCGUACCUUUUGUAUAAUGGGUCAGCGACUUAUAUUUUGUAGCGAGGUUAACCGAUUAGGGUAGCCGUAGGGAAACCGAGUCUUAACUGGGCGAAUAGUUGCAAGGUAUAGACCCGAAACCCGGUGAUCUAGCCAUGGGCAGGUUGAAGGUUGAGUAACAUCAACUGGAGGACCGAACCCACUAACGUUGAAAAGUUAGGGGAUGACCUGUGGCUAGGAGUGAAAGGCUAAUCAAACCGGGAGAUAGCUGGUUCUCCCCGAAAUCUAUUUAGGUAGAGCCUCGGACGAAUACUUACGGGGG